UAAUGAGAGUUAUAAUUACAUAUUGGUUUCGGCCCAAUACCACAAGAUUGAAAUAUCUUGCUCAUUAU
Molecule: transfer RNA, 68 nt
Filed under: Aphrodita australis
Lineage: Eukaryota; Metazoa; Annelida; Polychaeta; Phyllodocida; Aphroditidae
Description: tRNA-Arg
Source: RNAcentral